GACUGAAUGAACCAGCAUUGCAGCCAUGGGUCAUUGUUAGCAUCACAGGGAAGGUUGAAGCCGCCCACUGCACCUGUAUGGCCGGAGUCGCGGACACCUGCACCCAUGUCGCUGCUCUUCUGCUUAAUAGUGUUGAUCCGUGGCACAAGGACUGUUACCAAUGAACCUGCGUACUGGGUUUUGCCGGCGUGUUGCUGGGAGAGCACGUCAGUCACUCGGACCGCAGCGAGUCGAAGGCGGAGUCAGCUCACCUCGUCAACAAUUCUGACGCCCGCUACUCUCACCCAGCGGAUCACUGCAGCACAUCAGGUGGGGCUUCACAGUGAUGUCAGACAAACACCAGCUCAGGUACCUGUGCUGCAGCAGCGAGGCCGAGCUGUGGGAUUGGAUCACGAGCCUUCUCAGAGCUCAGGUACGUUUACCUGCACGCUGGUCUGGGAUCAGCCGUCGCUCCUGUGCUGGCCAUCAUGGAUGUGCUUCUGUUGCAAACAAUGA
Molecule: long non-coding RNA, 495 nt
Organism: Pelmatolapia mariae (spotted tilapia)
Lineage: Eukaryota; Metazoa; Chordata; Actinopteri; Cichliformes; Cichlidae
Exons: 4
Source: RefSeq, a predicted model, not a curated record